Molecule: ribosomal RNA, 360 nt
Filed under: Triticum aestivum (bread wheat)
Lineage: Eukaryota; Viridiplantae; Streptophyta; Magnoliopsida; Poales; Poaceae
Description: partial small subunit ribosomal RNA
Source: RNAcentral
AUGUCAUAUAUCUUAAAAUUAAUCCAUCAAGUUGAUGAGCAAAUUCACAUGCGUUCUACUGGGCCCUACUCACCUGUUACACAACAACCCGUUCGAGGAAGAGCCCAGCAAGGGUUGAUAUCGCAUCGAAAUGAGGAGGCAGAAAGAGAGGAGGCGACGCAACGCAACGCUUGCCGGCCCACACAGUCACACUUGCCAGCUCUUGCAAAACAGAACAAAGGGAACGCCCUGUACUCCAUUUGCUCCUUGGAUCUUUCCCUUCGCAAAAGUUUUGAAAACAAACCAACAGGACCCUCUCUGGCCCCGAGAUUGUCUUCAUGGCUCCUAUGCAAGUACUACCAACUACCGUGCAUAAUUUAA